This 119-nucleotide small RNA is filed under the name Flavobacterium sp. 1. RNAcentral's name for it is "Flavo-1 RNA". Lineage: Bacteria; Pseudomonadati; Bacteroidota; Flavobacteriia; Flavobacteriales; Flavobacteriaceae. The record is from RNAcentral.
AUUUAGCCCCGAGAGAAGUGAAAAUCCUCCUGUGUUGUCUCAUCCCAAAAGACGAGAGGCACGGGAGAUUACUUUGUCAGUUCGUUAUCGCUCGUGUGUAACGGAUAGCGGGACGAUGC